This 29-nucleotide non-coding RNA is filed under the name Bombyx mori (domestic silkworm). The record is from RNAcentral. Lineage: Eukaryota; Metazoa; Arthropoda; Insecta; Lepidoptera; Bombycidae.
UAACCUAUAAAUAAUGUUAAGCCCACAAA